Molecule: ribosomal RNA, 459 nt
Filed under: uncultured Actinomycetes bacterium
Lineage: Bacteria; Bacillati; Actinomycetota; Actinomycetes
Description: bacterial SSU rRNA
Rfam family: Bacterial small subunit ribosomal RNA
Source: RNAcentral
GCGAAGAACCUUACCAAGGCUUGACAUAUACAGGAAUACGGCAGAGAUGUCGUAGCGGUUAAACGUCUGUAUACAGGUGGUGCAUGGUUGUCGUCAGCUCGUGUCGUGAGAUGUUGGGUUAAGUCCCGCAACGAGCGCAACCCUCGUUCUGUGUUGCCAGCAUUUAGUUGGGGACUCACAGGAGACUGCCGGGGUUAACUCGGAGGAAGGUGGGGAUGACGUCAAAUCAUCAUGCCCCUUAUGUCUUGGGCUGCACGCAUGCUACAAUGGCUGGUACAAAGGGCUGCAAUACUGCAAAGUGGAGCGAAUCCCAAAAAGCCAGUCUCAGUUCGGAUUGGGGUCUGCAACUCGACCCCAUGAAGUCGGAGUUGCUAGUAAUCGUAGAUCAGCAACGCUACGGUGAAUACGUUCCCGGGGCUGUACACACCGCCCGUCACAUCACGAAAGUCGGUAACACCC